UGCCGCGUGUGUGAAGAAGGCCUUAUGGUUGUAAAGCACUUUAAGCGAGGAGGAGGCUACUGAAGCUAAAACCUUCAGAUAGUGGACGUUACUCGCAGAAUAAGCACCGGCUAACUCUGUGCCAGCAGCCGCGGUAAUACAGAGGGUGCAAGCGUUAAUCGGAUUUACUGGGCGUAAAGCGCGCGUAGGCGGCUAAUUAAGUCAAAUGUGAAAUCCCCGAGCUUAACUUGGGAAUUGCAUUCGAUACUGGUUAGCUAGAGUGUGGGAGAGGAUGGUAGAAUUCCAGGUGUAGCGGUGAAAUGCGUAAAGAUCUGGAGGAAUACCGAUGGCGAAGGCAGCCAUCUGGCCUAACACUGACGCUGAGGUGCGAAAGCAUGGGGAGCAAACAGGAUUAGAUACCCUGGUAGUCCAUGCCGUAAACGAUGUCUACUAGCCGUUGGGGCCUUUGAGGCUUUAGUGGCGCAGCUAACGCGAUAAGUAGACCGCCUGGGGAGUACGGUCGCAAGACUAAAACUCAAAGGAAUUGACG
This 529-nucleotide ribosomal RNA is filed under the name uncultured Acinetobacter sp. RNAcentral's name for it is "bacterial SSU rRNA". It matches the Rfam family "Bacterial small subunit ribosomal RNA", at positions 395 to 915 of the family's 1533-position model. Lineage: Bacteria; Pseudomonadati; Pseudomonadota; Gammaproteobacteria; Moraxellales; Moraxellaceae. The record is from RNAcentral.